CAGAGAAUAGUUUAUAAAAAUUUUAAUUUUGGAGAUUAAAGAUAAGGACUUCCUUUUCUCUGA
RNAcentral lists this transfer RNA (63 nucleotides) under Histeridae sp. BMNH 1274329. RNAcentral's name for it is "tRNA-Pro". The record is from RNAcentral. Lineage: Eukaryota; Metazoa; Arthropoda; Insecta; Coleoptera; Histeridae.